This 482-nucleotide ribosomal RNA is filed under the name uncultured bacterium. RNAcentral's name for it is "partial 16S ribosomal RNA". It matches the Rfam family "Bacterial small subunit ribosomal RNA", at positions 30 to 507 of the family's 1533-position model. The record is from RNAcentral.
AUUGAACGCUGGCGGCAUGCUUUACACAUGCAAGUCGAACGGUAACAGGCCGCAAGGUGCUGACGAGUGGCGAACGGGUGAGUAAUGCAUCGGAACGUGCCCAGACGUGGGGGAUAACUACUCGAAAGAGUAGCUAAUACCGCAUACGAUCUAUGGAUGAAAGCGGGGGACCGUAAGGCCUCGCGCGAUUGGAGCGGCCGAUGUCAGAUUAGGUAGUUGGUGGGGUAAAGGCUCACCAAGCCAACGAUCUGUAGCUGGUCUGAGAGGACGACCAGCCACACUGGGACUGAGACACGGCCCAGACUCCUACGGGAGGCAGCAGUGGGGAAUUUUGGACAAUGGGCGCAAGCCUGAUCCAGCAAUGCCGCGUGCAGGAAGAAGGCCUUCGGGUUGUAAACUGCUUUUGUACGGAACGAAACGGCUCUGGUUAAUACCCGGGGCUAAUGACGGUACCGUAAGAAUAAGCACCGGCUAACUACGUG